GAUGAACGCUGGCGUCGUGCCUAAUACAUGCAAGUCGAGCGAACGGACGAGAAGCUUGCUUCUCUGAUGUUAGCGGCGGACGGGUGAGUAACACGUGGAUAACCUACCUAUAAGACUGGGAUAACUUCGGGAAACCGGAGCUAAUACCGGAUAAUAUUUUGAACCGCAUGGUUCAAAAGUAAAAGACGGUCUAGCUGUCACUUAUAGAUGGAUCCGCGCUGCAUUAGCUAGUUGGUAAGGUAACGGCUUACCAAGGCAACGAUGCAUAGCCGACCUGAGAGGGUGAUCGGCCACACUGGAACUGAGACACGGUCCAGACUCCUACGGGAGGCAGCAGUAGGGAAUCUUCCGCAAUGGGCGAAAGCCUGACGGAGCAACGCCGCGUGAGUGAUGAAGGUCUUCGGAUCGUAAAACUCUGUUAUUAGGGAAGAACAUAUGUGUAAGUAACUGUGCACAUCUUGACGGUACCUAAUCAGAAAGCCACGGCUAACUACGUGCCAGCAGCCGCGGUAAUACGUAGGUGGCAAGCGUUAUCCGGAAUUAUUGGGCGUAAAGCCGCGCGUAGGCGGUUUUUUAAGUCUGAUGUGAAAGCCCACGGCUCAACCGUGGAGGGUCAUUGGAAACUGGAAAACUUGAGUGCAGAAGAGGAAAGUGGAAUUCCAUGUGUAGCGGUGAAAUGCGCAGAGAUAUGGAGGAACACCAGUGGCGAAGGCGACUUUCUGGUCUGUAACUGACGCUGAUGUGCGAAAGCGUGGGGAUCAAACAGGAUUAGAUACCCUGGUAGUCCACGCCGUAAACGAUGAGUGCUAAGUGUUAGGGGGUUUCCGCCCCUUAGUGCUGCAGCUAACGCAUUAAGCACUCCGCCUGGGGAGUACGACCGCAAGGUUGAAACUCAAAGGAAUUGACGGGGACCCGCACAAGCGGUGGAGCAUGUGGUUUAAUUCGAAGCAACGCGAAGAACCUUACCAAAUCUUGACAUCCUUUGACAACUCUAGAGAUAGAGCCUUCCCCUUCGGGGGACAAAGUGACAGGUGGUGCAUGGUUGUCGUCAGCUCGUGUCGUGAGAUGUUGGGUUAAGUCCCGCAACGAGCGCAACCCUUAAGCUUAGUUGCCAUCAUUAAGUUGGGCACUCUAAGUUGACUGCCGGUGACAAACCGGAGGAAGGUGGGGAUGACGUCAAAUCAUCAUGCCCCUUAUGAUUUGGGCUACACACGUGCUACAAUGGACAAUACAAAGGGCAGCGAAACCGCGAGGUCAAGCAAAUCCCAUAAAGUUGUUCUCAGUUCGGAUUGUAGUCUGCAACUCGACUACAUGAAGCUGGAAUCGCUAGUAAUCGUAGAUCAGCAUGCUACGGUGAAUACGUUCCCGGGUCU
This 1373-nucleotide ribosomal RNA is filed under the name uncultured bacterium. Its description in RNAcentral is "bacterial SSU rRNA". It matches the Rfam family "Bacterial small subunit ribosomal RNA", at positions 28 to 1381 of the family's 1533-position model. The record is from RNAcentral.